UAACAUUUUCACCAUCUCUCUCCCACGUCUCUCUCAUCUUCUUCUCUAAUUAAUUUUUGUUUUCUUUCAUUUUAGUCCCUUUCUAUGAUUUUCACCCCCUCAAGCUCAAAACUUCAAAUUUCUUCCAUAAAUUUUUAGUGAAAUUAAAAGAAUAACUCCAUGACAAGUUUUUUUUUUUUUUUUGUGAAGUUAGGGAUUUGAGAAAUGUUAAGGUAAGGAUGAUGAAGUUUUCUUAAGGAUUUCAUGCGUAGUUCAUAAAAAUGCAUGGAAAUAGUAUGUGAUUAUUAUUUUGAUAUUAAAUAUUGUGUAUGUGUGCUAUGUUGAUAAAGAGAAAGAAGAAAAGUGAACAUCAAGUUGGUGAUAAAGGUAAAGAAGCAACAAAAGAGUGAAGGAAGAAAAAAGGGCCAUUCCAAGCAUUUCAUAGUAAAGAUUUGAUUUGAAUCUCUAGAGCGAAGGUCAAUUCUGACUCAUCUCAUCACAAAAUGAAGUUUGGAAGAGAGUAUGAUUUUGAUGUUUGGUUUUAGCUCAUGGCAUGUACAUAGGAUAUUCUAAGCAUGUCUAUGGAAGAAUUCUAAGGGAAGCAUAUGAUAGUUUUGAUCUUCCUUGAUAAUUUUGUAAACUUGGUUAUGUUCAAUUUUGUAUUAAGUUGAAUUAAGUGAUGCUCAAUGUUGGAAAUUGGCAUAAAUGAAUGGAAUAUCGGUUGAAUUGGGUGAUAGGUACCACAUGAGCAUUGAUUUAGGAGUUGUGAAUCAAAAUGCAUAAGAUUCAAGGUGAUAGAACUCACGUCGCGACGUCGGGUUCAUGAAGUCACGACGAGCCUAUUCAGUGAGCGACGUUGCAACGUGGUACUCUUGAAGUAGCCACAAGCUUAGUCGGAGAGUGACGUCGAGACGUGGUAUCUUAGAAGUCGCGACGAGCACUCAAUUAGUUCGAAACUUUACAAUUUAGUCCAUAAACAACUUUAGAUCACCUAGGAAACUUGUGCAAGCUUGUAUAAAUCUCGGAUAAGUAUAUAAAUCAUAUUUUAAUUA
Molecule: long non-coding RNA, 1031 nt
Organism: Gossypium raimondii (Peruvian cotton)
Lineage: Eukaryota; Viridiplantae; Streptophyta; Magnoliopsida; Malvales; Malvaceae
Exons: 2
Source: RefSeq, a predicted model, not a curated record